Molecule: long non-coding RNA, 194 nt
Organism: Eurytemora carolleeae
Lineage: Eukaryota; Metazoa; Arthropoda; Copepoda; Calanoida; Temoridae
Exons: 2
Source: RefSeq, a predicted model, not a curated record
CAAGGAAGAUGUAAAAGUUUUUUAAUUGAAACUACGGAAGAGGGUCCAGAAAUAGAACCAGCAGAUUCUAGUGGGAAGAGACCACAAGUGCUGGGACCAGAAGCGGGAACAGAUUAUAGAUUUAGCCAAAUUUUAAGAACAUUUGCACCACCCCCACAACCACCACCAAUAUAUCGAGAUCGUUUCGAUGAAAA